RNAcentral lists this ribosomal RNA (468 nucleotides) under uncultured bacterium. RNAcentral's name for it is "partial 16S ribosomal RNA". It matches the Rfam family "Bacterial small subunit ribosomal RNA", at positions 28 to 507 of the family's 1533-position model. The record is from RNAcentral.
GACGAACGCUGGCGGCGUGCUUAACACAUGCAAGUCGAACGGAAAGGCCCUUCUUUUUUGGGGUGCUCGAGUGGCGAACGGGUGAGUAACACGUGAGUAACCUGCCCUUGACUUUGGGAUAACUUCAGGAAACUGGGGCUAAUACCGGAUAGGAGCUCCUGCUGCAUGGUGGGGGUUGGAAAGUUUCGGCGGUUGGGGAUGGACUCGCGGCUUAUCAGCUUGUUGGUGGGGUAGUGGCGUACCACGGCGUUGACGGGUAGCCGGCCUGAGAGGGUGACUGGCUACAUUGGGACGGAGAUGCGGCCCAGACUCCUACGGGAGGCAGCAGUGGUGAAUAUUGCACAAUGGGCGGAAGCCUGAUGCAGCAACGCCGCGUGCGGGAUAACGGCCUUCGGGUUGUAAACCGCUUUCGCCUGUGACGAAGCGUGAGUGACGGCAAUGGGUAAAGAAGCACCGGCUAACUACGUG